This 922-nucleotide ribosomal RNA is filed under the name uncultured bacterium. RNAcentral's name for it is "bacterial SSU rRNA". It matches the Rfam family "Bacterial small subunit ribosomal RNA", at positions 33 to 935 of the family's 1533-position model. The record is from RNAcentral.
ACGCUGGCGGCGUGCCUAAUACAUGCAAGUCGAACGAGAGCGACCGGUGCUUGCACUGGUCAAUCUAGUGGCGAACGGGUGAGUAACACGUGGGUAACCUGCCCAUCAGAGGGGGAUAACAUUCGGAAACGGAUGCUAAAACCGCAUAGGUCCUUUAACCGCAUGGUUGAAGGAGGAAAAGAGGCGCAAGCUUCUGCUGAUGGAUGGACCCGCGGUGCAUUAGCUAGUUGGUGAGGUAACGGCUCACCAAGGCCGUGAUGCAUAGCCGACCUGAGAGGGUGAUCGGCCACAUUGGGACUGAGACACGGCCCAAACUCCUACGGGAGGCAGCAGUAGGGAAUCUUCCGCAAUGGACGCAAGUCUGACGGAGCAACGCCGUGUGAGUGAAGAAGGUUUUCGGAUCGUAAAACUCUGUUGUUAGAGAAGAACAAGUGCUAGAGUAACUGUUAGCGCCUUGACGGUAUCUAACCAGAAAGCCACGGCUAACUACGUGCCAGCAGCCGCGGUAAUACGUAGGUGGCAAGCGUUGUCCGGAUUUAUUGGGCGUAAAGCGAGCGCAGGCGGUUCCUUAAGUCUGAUGUGAAAGCCCCCGGCUCAACCGGGGAGGGUCAUUGGAAACUGGGGAACUUGAGUGUAGAAGAGGAGAGUGGAAUUCCAUGUGUAGCGGUGAAAUGCGUAGAUAUAUGGAGGAACACCAGUGGCGAAGGCGACUCUCUGGUCUGUAACUGACGCUGAGGCUCGAAAGCGUGGGUAGCAAACAGGAUUAGAUACCCUGGUAGUCCACGCCGUAAACGAUGAGUGCUAAGUGUUGGAGGGUUUCCGCCCUUCAGUGCUGCAGUUAACGCAUUAAGCACUCCGCCUGGGGAGUACGACCGCAAGGUUGAAACUCAAAGGAAUUGACGGGGACCCGCACAAGCGGUGG